This is a long non-coding RNA of Scylla paramamosain (green mud crab), 4550 nucleotides long. RefSeq lists it as uncharacterized. The transcript has 7 exons. Lineage: Eukaryota; Metazoa; Arthropoda; Malacostraca; Decapoda; Portunidae. The record is from RefSeq and is a predicted model, not a curated record.
GAAGGAGGAGGGUCACUGCCGCUUCUCCUCCGCACGCCCCGACCAUGUGAGAUCCUUCCCGUAACAACUCGCAAAGGAUCACCGCCGGGUAUCCUUUGUGGGACAUCCCAAGCAAGAUAGGGUAUCUGAAGGACUCCUGAAGUACUAGAAUAUCCUUAAACAUGUAAAACGAAGGAUAUAUGAGAAAAGGAUGUUUGGGCACUGAUGAAUUUAGAAGCCACUGGCCGUAGUAUCUGAAGGAUGGUGAUGGGAUCGAGUCCUUCGUAGGAGUUUAACUAACUAGCUCCUGUGAAAGGAAUUGAUAGAAAAAAGGAUACGAGGGAAGGAUAAUUAAAGGAUAACUGUCACCGCUCAAGUCGUUGGUGAAGGAAAGAAGGAAUAAAGGAAGAAGAAAUAAUAAAGUUAAAUGAAACAGCUUAAGUAAAAUUGAGGAGAGAGGGAGACAGAAGAAAGAAAAAGUGAAAAUGGCAGAAAAAUACAAAACAACGGUGAGCAAAUAAUAAAACUUAAGUGAAAGUCAAAGACGUAAAAAAACUAAAAGAAAGACAGAAAAAAAUAAAUAAAUAAACAUUACAGUGAAAACUAAGAACGAAAUAAAAUAAAAUAAGGAGCACAACAAAGCAAUAAUAACCACCAACAAUAAAAGAGAAACCUACAGUGAACGACAAUUAAAAAGGGAAAAAAAAAACGAAAAGCAGGUUAAGGAAAAAAAAAAAUAAAAAAACACAGGCAGGAAAGGAAGGGAAGUUAACAGCUCAUAAAAAAAUAAAAAAAAAUUGUCGUGAAGGAAAGUUGAAGAAUAAGAAAAUAACCGGACAUUGGAAUUCUCGUAAAAAUGUCAGGUUCAGGCGAAAUGCGACAAAAUUGUGAGUGCGUGAGAGUAUUUGAGCGUCGUAAUGAAAAGCCGAAGUAAUAACGAUAACAAUAACAAAGGGAUCGCGGCAACAGGAGCCCAAGGAUGAAGAGUGAAUGGAGGCAAUGAAGAAUAAUGAAUAAUGCCCACAACCAACGUAAAAAUGGAAGAAAACACCAAGAAAGGACGGAUAAUGAAUGGGAAACUCUAACUUUUCAACACCCGGAGAGAAAAAUAUAUACCUACAGAAAAAUAACAGUGAAGUGCUGAGGAUGAUAAUGAUGACGUCACGAGCAGCGGAGAUCUGGGCCUGUCACGUGAUCCUCCUACUGUUUCUGACGCUGAGGGCAGGUGAGGCCCUCAGGAUCUCAGGAAUGGAGGUUCCCAGAGUGGUGGUGUCCGGGUCCUCGGUGCAGCUGGUGUGUAACUACGAAUACAACAGAGAGAGGGAGGACCCGCUGUAUUUCCGUUAAGUGGUACAGGGAACGUGAAUCAGUUUUACGAGUAUAUACCGAAGAGGGUGCCGCAAGUCAGGGUGUAUCCGCUGCCCAACCUUAAUGUAGACGAGAGAGGCAGCACGCAGGCCACUGUUCUCCUGAAGGGCGUGACGCGGGCCUCUUCAGGGACCUUCCGUUGUGAAGUGAUGGGGGACAAGCCCUUGUUUGAAACUGAUGAUAAGGCCAAGAAUAUGACAGUCGUGGACAUACCCACAUGGGGACCUGAACUGACGGGCGUGAUACACAAGGGCAUGGGCGGCGUGGGCGGAAUGGGUGGCGGAGGACGUGGGGAGCAAGCAACGCGGGAGGAGAUCACACAAGGCUCUAGAGUUCGCCCAGGUGAUGUCAUGUCCGUCAGGUGUCUCUUAGGCCACUCUGACCCCCAAGCUGUGGUCACCUGGCUGGUUAAUUCCCGCCCCCUCCGCCCCCCCACACACACCUCAGGGUCCUGACCAACAGCGACGAGGAGAACGGCCAACGCAUCCAGAUCUCGGAGCUGGAGGCAGUGGUGACGGAGGCCUGGUUCGUGCGGGGCGCCCUUUCCCUGACUUGCCACGCUCGUGUGUCCACCGUCUACCACAGCAACGCCACCGUCACGCUACUUCACGCCGACCAUCCGAAGCCAGCCGGGUUUGGAUGGUUCUCCGCGGCUUCCACCCCACAAGGCUCCCUACUGCUGCAGCUACUUCUCCCGCUGCUGUUCCUGCUGUGACGUCGCUGCGGUGGUGGUGGUGGUGGUGGUGGUGGUGGUGGUGGUGAUGAAUGAGGGGCACAAAAGAGGAAGUUUAUUUACUCCUGUCUAUUGAUUGUGGCUAGCGUCUGUUUGUCUGUCUGUCUGUGUGUCUGUCUGCUGAUCUAGGUAUCUUUCUUUCGUUCUUUUCCUUUCUUUUCUUUCUAUUCUUAGUAUUCCAUAUUCUUUUCAUUCCCUUUGUUCGUCUCUGUCUGUCUUUCUGUCUAUCUAUCUAUCUAUCUCUCUAUCUAUUUAUUUAUCUAUCUAUCUAUCUAUCUAUCCAUUUACAGCUUUGUCAUAUUUUUUUUAACUUACAUCUUGUCUUUCUCUCGUUCUAUCUGUUUAUUUUCCUCUUCCCAUAUCUCUCUCUCUCUCUCUCUCUCUCUCUCUCUCUCUCUCUCUCUCUCUCUCUCUCUCUCUCUCUCUCUCUCUCUCUCUCUCUCUCUCUCUCUCUCUUUCCAUAGACAACGAUAAAUAUUCCUCUUCAGCCUCUAAGGUCAAUUUCACAACAAAAACACGAAUAAUCACAAAAAGAAAAAAAAUUCAAAAAUCACAAAAAUGGCCACUUGAUGCUAACUCUAGAGAAGCAAAACAACCUGUAGAAAACACCUGAGCAUGAUACUAAUUAACCUGUACGUAUACAUAGUAAGCAAUCCUCUACACAAGUAUACAUAGAUUAUAAGGGCGAUCCCAACCCUGUAUAAUGUAUGUGUGUUGCGUCAUGAUACCGGUUUUUUAACACACACACACACACAUACACACACACACACACACAUAUAUACUCACACACACACACACACACACACACACACACACACACACACGGUAAACACUCCACGCUCAAGGCAUAGUAGUAGAUUAAUGUGUAUGUACCUUCCUAAAGUACUUUUUCGCCUUAAUCAUAACACAAGGUUUGCGUCGACGAUACAAAGAAGACAAUACGAAUGAAUAAGUGACUGAAUAGAUGAUUAGAUAGAUAGAUGGAUGAAUAAGUGAUUGGAUGACUGGAUGAUUGGAUGGAUGGAUAAAUAAAUGAAUGAAUGAAUGAAUGAAAUAUCUUUACCACAACACAAAAAUUCUAUAGUCAUUGAUACAAAGAAGACAAUAUGAAUGACUGAAUGAAUGAAUGAAUGAGCUUUACUCUAACACAAGAUUCUAUGAAAUGAUAACUGAGAAGACAAUAUGAAUGAAUGAAUAAAAGUAAGAUUGAAUUAAUGAAUGAUCUAAACUAUGACACAAAAAUUGAUAGAUGACACAGAAAAUACAGCACGAAUGAAUGAAUAAACAAAUAAAUGAAUGAAUGAAUGAAUGAAUGGCCUCUUAUAUAUACACACAUAUGUCCACGCCUAGUAUUAUGAUAGAGCUUAGUAAUGUAUAACCCACGCCUGAAUUAUACACCCUGGAAUCUCCUACACUGAAGGGAGAAGAGUGAGGAAUGAAGACUGUACAGUGAACGUUAAGUGUCUGAGGUGAACCGUGCCUAAACGUUUAUGUAAAUAGACUGUGUUUAUAUUAACAUUUGAAUAUGGCGGAUUCUACGCCUGAUUUUAGGAUAUUUAUUGAUAUAUAUGGCUUCACGUCUUAAGUGUUUUCUUUUCUUCUUUCUUUUCUAUUUUCUUUUACCUUUUUUUUUUUAGAUAUGUCACUUUUGUUCUUCCCUCUAUCACCAUUUUUUUUCUAUCUCCCUUUUGCAAAAUUUGGGUUCGUUUUUAGACGAUUUCUUUAGGAGAACGUUAGUAUUGAUAACUCUUUGUACUUUUCCUUUACUUUCGUUCUAUAAUUACUUGUGUUUAAUGAGAUUUUUUUUCCUUUUAUUUUAAGGGAGAGUUAGUGGAAAUAUCAUUUUGUUUACCCGUUUGCUUUCCUUUUAUAUUCGGUUGGGUUUACAGUAUUAUUCUAAGAUUAUUUCUCUCUAAGGGGAUUGUAGAAAUGCCCCUUUUGUCUCCGUUUUCCUUUAAGUGCGUGAGAAUAUUGUAAAUUAUCUUAUAGUGUAUGAGGUUAAGAGUGGAAGAUAUGUGAGCAUUCUUGGCAAGUCGAGAAGAAGAAGAAGAAGAAGAAGAAGAAGAAAAAGAAGAAAAAGAAGAUGAUGAUGAUGAUGAUGAUGAACAGAAGGACGAAGGAUUGUGGUGUUGUUGGUGGUGAGGCCGAUUAGAAAAAGACGAAGAAACAGAACAACAACAACAACAACAACAACAACAAGUACUAUGGCUGCCAGGCGACUUAAUAACACAUUAUUAUUAUCAUCACAUUUUUAUUUUUAUUUAUUUUUUUUUUUGUAAAGCAUAUAUCAUACACACCUGUACGUAUGUAAGAUAAUAUAAACACACACACACACACACACACACACACACACACACACACACACACACACACACACAUACACACACAGUUGUCGUCUAACCAUUGUCUUCCUACUCGUGUGUGUCAUAAGGAAUCGCUUUGUUCUCAAAUAAAACAUCUGUGUCGCUCC